GGAGUUAGCCGGUGCUUCUUCUGUGAGUGAUGUCCUUCCUGCCGGCUAUUAACCCGCAGGCCUUCUUCCUCACUGAAAGUGCUUUACAACCCGAAGGCCUUCUUCACACACGCGGCAUGGCUGGAUCAGGGUUGCCCCCAUUGUCCAAUAUUCCCCACUGCUGCCUCCCGUAGGAGUCUGGGCCGUGUCUCAGUCCCAGUGUGGCUGAUCAUCCUCUCAGACCAGCUACGGAUCGUCGCCUUGGUGAGCCGUUACCUCACCAACCAGCUAAUCCGACAUAGGCUCAUCCGAUAGCGCGAGGCCCGAAGGUCCCCCGCUUUCCCCCGUAGGGCGUAUGCGGUAUUAGCCUGGGUUUCCCCAGGUUAUCCCCCACUACCGGGCAGAUUCCUAUGCAUUACUCACCCGUCCGCCGCUCGCCACCAGGGAGCAAGCUCCCCGUGCUGCCGCUCGACUUGCAUGUGUAGCUGCCGCCAGCGUCAUCUGAGCGAGAUACGAACCUACUACACGAGACGGCGGCGCGACGACGGCG
This 529-nucleotide ribosomal RNA is filed under the name uncultured bacterium. RNAcentral describes it as "partial 16S ribosomal RNA". The record is from RNAcentral.